RNAcentral lists this unclassified non-coding RNA (301 nucleotides) under uncultured Phaeosphaeriaceae. RNAcentral's name for it is "sequence contains ITS1". The stretch from base 1 to 105 matches the Rfam family "5.8S ribosomal RNA", at positions 50 to 154 of the family's 154-position model. The record is from RNAcentral. Lineage: Eukaryota; Fungi; Ascomycota; Dothideomycetes; Pleosporales; Phaeosphaeriaceae.
GAAAUGCGAUAAGUAGUGUGAAUUGCAGAAUUCAGUGAAUCAUCGAAUCUUUGAACGCACAUUGCGCCCCUUGGUAUUCCAUGGGGCAUGCCUGUUCGAGCGUCAUUUGUACUCUCAAGCUCUGCUUGGUGUUGGGUGUUUGUCCUUUCCUUUGCGAUUGGACUCGCCUUAAAAUAAUUGGCAGCCAGUGUUUUGGUAUUGAAGCGCAGCACAAUUUGCGAAUCAAGCCUAAAGACUAGCAUCCAUAAAGCUAUUUUACACUUUUGACCUCGGAUCAGGUAGGGAUACCCGCUGAACUUAA